AUAUUUAAGUGUAAAGCAUUUAAAUUUUUGAAAUUUAAGGAUCAGACAGGUGUUUGGAGGUAUAAA
Molecule: transfer RNA, 66 nt
Filed under: Arytainilla spartiophila (broom psyllid)
Lineage: Eukaryota; Metazoa; Arthropoda; Insecta; Hemiptera; Psyllidae
Description: tRNA-Gln
Source: RNAcentral